This 3710-nucleotide long non-coding RNA is filed under the name Ovis aries (sheep). Its description in RNAcentral is "lncRNA (ENSOARG00000026356.1)". Lineage: Eukaryota; Metazoa; Chordata; Mammalia; Artiodactyla; Bovidae. The record is from RNAcentral.
CGCAUUUCAAUCUGUAUCCUACACUCAGGCUUCACUCCAUUACACAGGGAAAUUUAGCUUCAUUGAUAUGAAGGGGCUAAUUACUACAUGAGACAUAAUUACAAGAUGGGAAAUGGAUUUAUAGAUGCUGUCAGUGGGAGGGGAAGCUGCUACGGCUGCACUGUGCUCCUACAGGGCUCAAAGCUCCCCAGAGUCUUGCCCUGGGAAUACUUGCCUUACCAGAGAGAUGUCUUCCUAGAGAGGUCAGUGGUGCUACAGAUUUCUGGACAUUAAAUCCAUGUUUCCCUCUGAAUUUGUUCCACCAACAGUGAUAUGCUCCACAGGGUCCCUCAACACAAUAAAAAUCACACUUAAGAAUGUAGUUAGUCUGAAAGGAAACAUAUGAUGAGAUGAUCUAUCUUAAAACUAGUGGAGAUUUCUGACUCCGCUGUCACCACGGCGACUGUGAGAAAGCUUGUGGCGAAGCUGGGGCAAAAAAAGGAAGCAGGUCCUGAAGUUAACCCUAGACUGUGCUUAUCUGUAAAAGAUGGAAUCAUGGAUAGCACCAAUUUUGAGCCGUUUCUUCAGGAGAGGACCAAGGGAGAGACUCAUCAAAUGGCCUUCCACAACCUUGCUUUGGAAGAUCCUGCUUGUCCCUACCAUGACCCCAGGCUCCAGCAGAAACAAUCCAGGCAGGACCCCCAAAGUGGGCCCCUUCCAAAGGAAUAAUAACAAUAUCAACUAUUCACCUGCAUUAUGUUAAACACUUUGUGUACUUUAACUCAUUUAAUCUUCAAAAGAACCUUUCAAAGUGGAUUAUUAUAAUCUCUAUUUUAAACAUUUGGUUCAGAGAGGUGAAACAGUUUGUUCAAUGUUACAAACCUUUGGAGACUAAUGACAGUGCAUCCAAUUUCUAUACCCCUGCCGCCAUUCCCUGUCACUUUUCAUCCUGUUCCUUAUGACCUGAUGGGAGCCCAAACCUUGCCAUGGGGACAUCCACAGUUACUUUCAACCCAGGCUUAGCCCUAAGGCUGUCUCCAGCCCAGCUGGACUUGCACCACAGAGCGGCUUUAUUCUCCAGCCUCUCUGUUCCUCCAUAACCAUUCUCUGAGAGAUGAGAUCAUCAUGAAGUUACUUUCUGCUGCUCCAGGCAUCUCCUGCAACUCCAGUGCCCUCAACACACUACAGUCUCCCAGUUCUAAUUAUCACCAGGCUGAGCGGGGCUUUGGAAAAAUCCCAAGGCAAAAGAUAACUAAAUUAAAAGCCAUGAUAGUAAAGACAUAUUAUCUCUCUGUAUAAAAAAAAAAAAUGCCCAAAGUUUACAAGUUUAAAAUAAAAACACUUAUUCUAUCACAGUUCCUAAGGGUCAGAAAUCUGAAUGUGGCUUAGCUGAGGGCUUCUGGUUCGAGUUCUUUCAUGAGGUUGUAGUCAAGCUGUUGUCCAGGCAUGUGGUCUCAUAGGCUUGACUAGAACUGGAGGCUCCAAUUCCAAGCUCGUGCACGUGGUUAUGAGACUAAAGACCUUAGUUUCUUGCCCUGACACGUGGGUCUCAUGGCAUCUUGCAACCCUCAUUGCAAGCGACCCAAGAGAAAGAGGAAGAGAGAGUGCACAUAAGGUGCAAAACAGUCUUUUUAUACCCUAACCUCGAAAGUGCCCUCAUAUCACUUCUGCUGGAUUAUUUGCUAGAAAUGAAUCACUAGUCACUCAAAGAGAGGAAAUUACACCAGGGCAUGGACACGAGGCGAUAGCAAACACUGGUGGCCAUCUGUGAGGUGCACUGGACAGAAUCAGUUACUGCCACCAGCCCCCAUAAAAUCAUACACACUGGGACUUCUCAGUGGUCCAGUGGUUAAAAAUCUGUCUUGCAAUGCAGGAGACAUGAGUUCGAUUCCUGUUCAGGAAACUAAGAGGGGCAUGCCGAGGAGCAGCUAAGCCAAUACACAACUACUGAGUCCACGCUUGGCGUGCCUUCAAAUAAGACCACAUCCCUGGCUAACAGCUUGACUGCAAUCUCAUGAGAGAAAGCCCACACCACAAUGAUGACUCAGCACAACAGAAAAAGCCCAUACACGCUAACUUUGUUCUCUUCCUGAAGUUUAAUUUCCUUCUGGGCAAUAACUCUUACUAUAUCUCCUGAUUGAUUUUUGGAGUCCCUUACCAACAGGAUAGUAUAAUAGUUGACAUCCAUCAGUUGCUUGAAGAAGCGAAGUGAAGUUGCUCACUUGUGUCCGACUCUUUGCAACCCCAUGGACUGUAGUCUACCAGGCUCCUCAGUCCAUGAGAUUUUUCCAGGCAAGAGUACUGGAGUGGGUUGCCAUUUCCUUCUCCAGGGGAUCUUCCUGACCCAGGGAUCGAACCUGGGUCUCCCGCAUUGUAGGCAGACACUUUACCGUCUGAGCUAGUUCCUUAGCCCCUUCUAAAUGCUGGGUCAAACACCUCACUAAACUUGAAAGAUGCAGAAACUGAAGCUUAGAGAGGAAAAGUAACUUGCCCAAGAUCUCAUAGCUAAUAACAAGCAGGGGUGUGAUUUAAAGCCAAACCAUCUGACUCCAGAACCUGGUUCUCUUUAGCAUGUUGACGUGUGCACACUCCUGGUUUCUGUCUCAGCUGUGUCCCAUUUUGCAACGACCAUGACUCUUAUGACUUGGGAGUGGUGGCAAAUGCUUUGGACAAAAGGAAAAUCUGUUUCAUUUUAGGGAUUCUCUCCACCUGCUGUGUAAAUUGGAGGGAAGACAUUACUGGGGAGUAGAUAAGUGGGUGCCUAAACUAGCAGGAAGUUCCACAAAAAUUCUAAGUAUAAAAACAAAUUGAAGAUGGAAAAGGAAAUAGUCUGUCAAGAUCCCUUGCUCCUUCACUUCACUCCUAGCCAGCUGUGGUCAGGCUGGCUCACCUGUCUCCUGGGCUCCUGAACUAUGCUUCCUACAAGCUAGAUGUACUUGAGAUUCCCAGAGCCAAUGCUGAACAAAUUGAUGGAUUGCUCCCUACUAUCUCAGACACCUUGCAAAAAGCUUUACCUACACUGAGUCAUUUAAUUCCUACAUAUUUUUCUGCUCAUGUGCACACAUCAUCUUGAGGUGGCUCACUGGGAAUAAUCACUGUAACAAGGGCAACAGGGCUCCUGGAAUGACCUUGGUAAAAGCUAGAGGGUCUCAUUCUUCUCCCCCAGAGAACACACACAAGAUUGACCACAAGGCAAAAGAGGACAAAUGGGUCAGGGAAAAUCCAUCUUGGACCUCAUUCAAGUAAACUCAGGCAUAUAGUGAGCUGAGGCCACAGUCACAUGACUGGCAAGGAGCUGGCAGAAUGUGAGCAGGCAGGGACCAAGCUGAGGGAGCUGAAUCCCUGGAGCAUUCCCUGGAACAACCACGUGGCUGGCUGGAUGCAAAAUGAUCAGCUCAUGCUCAUGGUGGUUUAGCUGGUGCAGGCAUCAAAUCUUCCCAAUCUACAGAUGAGAUCAUGGCGGAAGGAAUCCAAGUGGGUUCAGCCUUCUUGGCUUCAGAUAACUGGUCUCUUCACAGCAAAACUCAAGCCAGAAGGACCAAGUAUCUCUUUUUACUAUGCCAGAAGAGCAAAAGAGUUGCUAAUAAUUAAAUAAGGUGUUAGGACCUCAGUCACUUAAGCUGGAUUUAGGGCAGUGCUUGAAUUCCCACAGAGAGCUAGAGUCCUCUGUGGGCCCCCCAGGCAGAAGCCUAAUCAUCAGAAUGGUACCAGCAUAGUGGGGUUGGGAGUGG